This 499-nucleotide ribosomal RNA is filed under the name uncultured bacterium. RNAcentral's name for it is "partial 16S ribosomal RNA". It matches the Rfam family "Bacterial small subunit ribosomal RNA", at positions 30 to 523 of the family's 1533-position model. The record is from RNAcentral.
AUUGAACGCUGGCGGUAUGCUUAACACAUGCAAGUCGAACGAUGAGAAAGAGCUUGCUCUUUCGAUUAGUGGCGGACGGGUGCGUAACGCGUAGGCAUCUACCUAUUAGUGGGGGACAACUUAGGGAAACUUAAGCUAAUACCGCAUACGCCCUACGGGGGAAAGGAGGGGAUCGCAAGACCUUUCGCUAAUAGAUGAGCCUGCGUAGGAUUAGCUAGUUGGUGGGGUAAAGGCUAACCAAGGCGACGAACCUUAACUGGUUUGAGAGAAUGAUCAGUCAAAGUGGAACUGAGACACGGGCCAGACUCCUACGGGAGGCAGCAGUGGGGAACAUUGGACAAUGGGCGAAAGCCUGAUCCAGCAAUACCGCGUGUGGGAAGAAGGCCUUAGGGUUGUAAAGCACUUUAAAUUGGAAGGAAAAAUUCGUGGCUAAUAUCCGCGAACUUGACAUUACCUUUAGAAGAAGCACCGGCUAACUCCGUGCCAGCCGCCGCCGUAA